Molecule: long non-coding RNA, 685 nt
Organism: Culex pipiens pallens (northern house mosquito)
Lineage: Eukaryota; Metazoa; Arthropoda; Insecta; Diptera; Culicidae
Exons: 2
Source: RefSeq, a predicted model, not a curated record
CCAUAGAUUAUUAAUUACCUAGAUGUCUCACUUCGGGAUUUUUCCAUACAUCCAGUUGGCGACACCCCUUUAGCGCUCCGAGCGCCACCACAGUCAAGUUACAGGUACUAAAAUGUUUGGAAAAAUCUAAGCAACCUCUGCAAGUGCCCAUUGCAAAUAUUGUUUGUUUUUGACAAUAUGUCAUCCAUCAUGGUUCAACGCGUGCUUUUCGGUCGUAAUUUGCUCGGAUUAAGUGGAGCGCGGCCUCCGUCGCCAGGCCAGGCCAGACCAGCAGCAGUGACGAUUCCGAACAGCAAUCCAAACUUAAGGAUCCAACAAGAGCAGGAGGUGACCCUCAUCAUGCCGAUCGUGGACAAUGGCGAAAGCGCAGCAAAAUUGUGCCUCUUCUAAUGUGGUUCCGAUGAGAAGAGGCCAUAAAAUAUUUGUCAAAAAGUUGGGCUAAUUCAAUAAUAAAGCACUGAUCCCGCUGGCUGCAAGUGGAUAUCAAAUGAAGUGGUAUGAAGCUUUCACAUCGUCUCAGAGGGGUGUUUCUGACCAUCCAACCCCAGAAGUGACUUGGAGCCGCGUGAACAGCCUUGGUCCUCGGACGGAGUACAGGACACUAGAUUUUUAAAUCCGAUAGUUUAUUAUCAACUAAUUACAUAGAAAAUGAUGCAAUAAAAACAUUUAAUUUUGUUUUAUUUCA